Molecule: long non-coding RNA, 439 nt
Filed under: Vulpes vulpes (red fox)
Lineage: Eukaryota; Metazoa; Chordata; Mammalia; Carnivora; Canidae
Description: lncRNA (ENSVVUG00000020946.1)
Source: RNAcentral
AGUGUCUAGUUUAAGAGAAAAAUGAUAUAUAGUUUUUCCUUAGAGCUAGAGUUCUGACAGUUUCUUCAACUUGUAUUUGUUUUUAGUUUACUUCUUCAUGGUGAUGGGUCUGGAGACACAGCUUCAAUACAUACCUCUGAAUAGUUGGAGAAAAAAAUUAGCACUAGACAGUUGAGACAAGUAGUAAUCUAUUCUCAGAAGUGAAGGCCAAACACCAACCAGCUACCGAUAGGAGAUUUAAAGAAAGACUCCAGAGAGCUGUUCUGAAUUGUCACUUGGGUUCAUCCAGGCAUCCCUCCAGUAGUGCUGGAUUCCAAUAGUUGUGGAAAUUACCAGUUUUCCUGUCUGCAGCUGGUGCCUGAGUGGUAUUCUUGGAGAACUCAUGAUCCGGGCAUUCGGCUUGUCACGGAAUUUAUGGAAAGCCCUAGUCCAAUGUCCU